CUCGGGACCGCUCCAGGUGCAGCAGACUAUUACCAUCUCAUUUGACGCAUGAGGGAACUGAGGCUAAGGAAAGUCGAAUCACUUGCCUGAGGUGAAACAAGCAUGGAUGACCCUGCUUUUCAUUUCCCAAAGAAAACAGAAGCAACCAGCAGAGAACCGCAUACCCUUCAGCCUGUGUUCAGCAGAGCCUCCUUCCUUUCUGAGGCUCCAGACCCAGCUCGGGCACCCCUGACCUCUAGUGCCCAAUUUCCUCCCUCCUGCCUGUUGGAAGACAUCACUCUUUUUUGCAUGAUCAGUUUUCUGCCUUUCUACCUGGCUAUUUUCAUCAGUCUGUACACCUGCUGUCAUUCUGCUAUUGAAAAAACCUGAGUCCUCUCUUUACCUGACUUAAAACUUUCCUCAAUAUCAUCAAAUUCUCCACUCCUCUUUAUAAAGCAAAACAUGAAGUGCUCAUGCUCAUACUCAGCGUUCCCAUCCUUCCUGAAAGCCACUCCCAUCAGCCUUUGG
Molecule: long non-coding RNA, 507 nt
Filed under: Homo sapiens (human)
Lineage: Eukaryota; Metazoa; Chordata; Mammalia; Primates; Hominidae
Description: HSALNT0205821
Source: RNAcentral